GACGAACGCUGGCGGCGUGCCUAAUACAUGCAAGUCGAACGAACUCUGGUAUUGAUUGGUGCUUGCAUCAUGAUUUACAUUUGAGUGAGUGGCGAACUGGUGAGUAACACGUGGGAAACCUGCCCAGAAGCGGGGGAUAACACCUGGAAACAGAUGCUAAUACCGCAUAACAACUUGGACCGCAUGGUCCGAGCUUGAAAGAUGGCUUCGGCUAUCACUUUUGGAUUGUCCCGCGGCGUAUUAGCUAGAUGGUGGGGUAACGGCUCACCAUGGCAAUGAUACGUAGCCGACCUGAGAGGGUAAUCGGCCACAUUGGGACUGAGACACGGCCCAAACUCCUACGGGAGGCAGCAGUAGGGAAUCUUCCACAAUGGACGAAAGUCUGAUGGAGCAACGCCGCGUGAGUGAAGAAGGGUUUCGGCUCGUAAAACUCUGUUGUUAAAGAAGAACAUAUCUGAGAGUAACUGUUCAGGUAUUGACGGUAUUUAACCAGAAAGCCACGGCUAACUACGUGCCAGCAGCCGCGGUAAUACGUAGGUGGCAAGCGUUGUCCGGAUUUAUUGGGCGUAAAGCGAGCGCAGGCGGUUUUUUAAGUCUGAUGUGAAAGCCUUCGGCUCAACCGAAGAAGUGCAUCGGAAACUGGGAAACUUGAGUGCAGAAGAGGACAGUGGAACUCCAUGUGUAGCGGUGAAAUGCGUAGAUAUAUGGAAGAACACCAGUGGCGAAGGCGGCUGUCUGGUCUGUAACUGACGCUGAGGCUCGAAAGUAUGGGUAGCAAACAGGAUUAGAUACCCUGGUAGUCCAUACCGUAAACGAUGAAUGCUAAGUGUUGGAGGGUUUCCGCCCUUCAGUGCUGCAGCUAACGCAUUAAGCAUUCCGCCUGGGGAGUACGGCCGCAAGGCUGAAACUCAAAGGAAUUGACGGGGGCCCGCACAAGCGGUGGAGCAUGUGGUUUAAUUCGAAGCUACGCGAAGAACCUUACCAGGUCUUGACAUACUAUGCAAAUCUAAGAGAUUAGACGUUCCCUUCGGGGACAUGGAUACAGGUGGUGCAUGGUUGUCGUCAGCUCGUGUCGUGAGAUGUUGGGUUAAGUCCCGCAACGAGCGCAACCCUUAUUAUCAGUUGCCAGCAUUAAGUUGGGCACUCUGGUGAGACUGCCGGUGACAAACCGGAGGAAGGUGGGGAUGACGUCAAAUCAUCAUGCCCCUUAUGACCUGGGCUACACACGUGCUACAAUGGAUGGUACAACGAGUUGCGAACUCGCGAGAGUAAGCUAAUCUCUUAAAGCCAUUCUCAGUUCGGAUUGUAGGCUGCAACUCGCCUACAUGAAGUCGGAAUCGCUAGUAAUCGCGGAUCAGCAUGCCGCGGUGAAUACGUUCCCGGGCCUUGUACACACCGCCCGUCACACCAUGAGAGUUUGUAACACCCAAAGUCGGUGGGGUAACCUUUUAGGAACCAGCCGCCUAAGGUGGGACAGAUGAUUAGGGUGAAGUCGUAACAAGGUAGCCGUA
This 1511-nucleotide ribosomal RNA is filed under the name Lactiplantibacillus argentoratensis. RNAcentral's name for it is "partial 16S ribosomal RNA". It matches the Rfam family "Bacterial small subunit ribosomal RNA". The record is from RNAcentral. Lineage: Bacteria; Bacillati; Bacillota; Bacilli; Lactobacillales; Lactobacillaceae.